This 253-nucleotide ribosomal RNA is filed under the name uncultured bacterium. RNAcentral describes it as "partial 16S ribosomal RNA". It matches the Rfam family "Bacterial small subunit ribosomal RNA", at positions 524 to 776 of the family's 1533-position model. The record is from RNAcentral.
UACGAAGGGGGCUAGCGUUGCUCGGAAUCACUGGGCGUAAAGCGCACGUAGGCGGAUCUUUAAGUCAGGGGUGAAAUCCUGGAGCUCAACUCCAGAACUGCCUUUGAUACUGAGGAUCUUGAGUCCAGGAGAGGUGAGUGGAACUGCGAGUGUAGAGGUGAAAUUCGUAGAUAUUCGCAAGAACACCAGUGGCGAAGGCGGCUCACUGGCCCGGUACUGACGCCGAGGUGCGAAAGCGUGGGGAGCAAACAGG